Non-coding RNA from Paramuricea clavata, 558 nucleotides. The record is from the annotation of a GenBank genome assembly. Lineage: Eukaryota; Metazoa; Cnidaria; Anthozoa; Malacalcyonacea; Plexauridae.
AGUUGGAUCUGCCUCGUCUGAUAAAUAGAAUGCAUGAAAAACCAUGGCCAUGAAAAUGUCUUGAAAGUGCGCCUUUGGAAAAAUAAUCCGUAUUCUACUUGUUUGAUGUAGUUGAUGUCGUUGAAACAAGAUGCAUAAAUAUAAAUCGAUGCUUGCAUGCAUGAAUCAGUCCAUCGUAAGAAAUGAUUAUGCACGUGCAUUAUCUUUUGACACGUUUCCUUGAGGCAAAUAAAAAACACUACAAGGGUUUCAUAUUUGCUGUGCAGCUAUAUGUCAUGUCACGUCUGUUUACCGCGGGUAUUUGCAUAAUAAACAGAGAAACUAUGGACACAUCACUCCUACAAUAAGAAUUCAUCUUAAUUUAAUUGCGGUGCCAAAACAAAGUUAGGCAUUGCUUCAUUAGUAUAUUCACUGCGUGAGUUUGCUAGUCUGUUUGGAAUCAUAAGCCUUGGUAUUAUUUUCAAAAGUAGUAUAUCUUCGCGCGUUCGUGGUCCACGUGAUGUUUUGCGCAUGAUCCAGGAAACUAGGUCUGGUUUUACAUUUUUUCGUGAAGCAAAU